AUUGAACGCUGGCGGCAGGCCUAACACAUGCAAGUCGAACGGUAACAGGAAGCAGCUUGCUGCUUUGCUGACGAGUGGCGGACGGGUGAGUCAUGUCUGGGAAACUGCCCGAUGGAGGGGGAUAACUACUGGAAACGGUAGCUAAUACCGCAUAACGUCGCAAUACCAAAGAGGGGGACCUUAGGGCCUCUUGCCAUCGGAUGUGCCCAGAUGGGAUUAGCUAGUAGGUGGGGUAACGGCUCACCUAGGCGACGAUCCCUAGCUGGUCUGAGAGGAUGACCAGCAACACUGGAACUGAGAAACGGUCCAGACUCCGACGGGAGGCAGCAGUGGGGAAUAUUGCACAAUGGGCGCAAGCCUGAUGCAGCCAUGCCGCGUGUAUGAAGAAGGCCUUCGGGUUGUAAAGUACUUUCAGCGGGGAGGAAGGGAGUAAAGUUAAUACCUUUGCUCAUUGACGUUACCCGCAGAAGAAGCACCGGCUAACUCCGUG
RNAcentral lists this ribosomal RNA (490 nucleotides) under uncultured bacterium. RNAcentral describes it as "partial 16S ribosomal RNA". It matches the Rfam family "Bacterial small subunit ribosomal RNA", at positions 30 to 507 of the family's 1533-position model. The record is from RNAcentral.